Drosophila busckii is the source of this 473-nucleotide long non-coding RNA. The transcript is spliced from 3 exons. NCBI's taxonomy places the organism in Eukaryota, Metazoa, Arthropoda, Insecta, Diptera, Drosophilidae. The record is from RefSeq and is a predicted model, not a curated record.
AAUUUAACUAACAACAAUUACAAAGAAAGUUUAUGUUUCAACAACUUGGUUUGCGCAAUUGUUUAUGCAAAUUGUUUUGUUUGUUGGUUGGCAGCGCGUGUUUAUUUAAUUGCAGUGCUUUGUAGUGCAGUGUAGUGCAUGGUGUAGUGCAAGAGCCAAAAGCGCUAAGCGCUCCAAAUCGUUUAUAGAACGUGCGAAACGUUAACGUUAACAGUUACAGUUACAACAGCCAAACAACAUAUUGAAACAUAAUGAAGUUACAGCGGCUCAGCUGCAUGCUGAUUAAAUAAAAAAAAUACAAAAUUAUAUAGUACAGCGCCAAGUGAAGUGACUUUAACAAUUUACAAUUCGCACACACACCACAGCGAAGGGGAGAGUGAAAGGCAGAGCGAGAGGAGGCGAGAGAGCAAAUUUACGCAGUCUGUGGAGAGGAAACUGAAGCAGCUGAGCGCAACUCAAGCAAAUUGAAAUUG